This 762-nucleotide ribosomal RNA is filed under the name uncultured bacterium. RNAcentral's name for it is "bacterial SSU rRNA". It matches the Rfam family "Bacterial small subunit ribosomal RNA", at positions 622 to 1381 of the family's 1533-position model. The record is from RNAcentral.
UGCCUUUGAUACUACCAGUCUUGAGUACGGGAGAGGAAAGUGGAAUUCCCAGUGUAGCGGUGAAAUGCGUAGAUAUUGGGAGGAACACCAGUGGCGAAGGCGACUUUCUGCCCCGUUACUGACGCUGAGACUCGAAAGCUAGGGUAGCGAACGGGAUUAGAUACCCCGGUAGUCCUAGCCGUAAACGAUGGACACUAGGUGCAGGAGGUAUUGACCCUUUCUGUGCCAAAGCUAACGCAUUAAGUGUCCCGCCUGGGGAUUACGGUCGCAAGGCUGAAACUCAAAGGAAUUGACGGGGGCCCGCACAAGCGGUGGAGCAUGUGGUUUAAUUCGACGCAACGCGAAGAACCUUACCUGGGCUUGAAGUGCAGUGGAUCGACUUGUGAAAGCUUGUCUUCCCUUCGGGGCUGCUGUAGAGGUGCUGCAUGGCUGUCGUCAGCUCGUGUCGUGAGGUGUCGGGUUAAGUCCCAUAACGAGCGCAACCCCUAUCCUUAGUUGCCAGCACAUAAUGGUGGGGACUCUAAGGAAACUGCCCGCGCAAGCGGUGAGGAAGGCGGGGAUGACGUCAAGUCAGCACGGCCCUUAUGUCCAGGGCUACACACGUGUUACAAUGGCCGGUACAGAGGGCAGCUACUCCGCGAGGAGAUGCAAAUCUCAAAAACCGGUCUCAGUUCGGAUCGAUGUCUGAAACUCGACUUCGUGAAGGCGGAAUCGCUAGUAAUCGCGCAUCAGCCAUGGCGCGGUGAAUACGUUCCCGGGCCU